Molecule: ribosomal RNA, 465 nt
Filed under: uncultured Klebsiella sp.
Lineage: Bacteria; Pseudomonadati; Pseudomonadota; Gammaproteobacteria; Enterobacterales; Enterobacteriaceae
Description: bacterial SSU rRNA
Rfam family: Bacterial small subunit ribosomal RNA
Source: RNAcentral
CCUACGGGCGGCUGCAGUGGGGAAUAUUGCACAAUGGGCGCAAGCCUGAUGCAGUCAUGCCGCGUGUGUGAAGAAGGCCUUCGGGUUGUAAAGCACUUUCAGCGGGGAGGAAGGCGGUGAGGUUAAUAACCUCAUCGAUUGACGUUACCCGCAGAAGAAGCACCGGCUAACUCCGUGCCAGCAGCCGCGGUAAUACGGAGGGUGCAAGCGUUAAUCGGAAUUACUGGGCGUAAAGCGCACGCAGGCGGUCUGUCAAGUCGGAUGUGAAAUCCCCGGGCUCAACCUGGGAACUGCAUUCGAAACUGGCAGGCUAGAGUCUUGUAGAGGGGGGUAGAAUUCCAGGUGUAGCGGUGAAAUGCGUAGAGAUCUGGAGGAAUACCGGUGGCGAAGGCGGCCCCCUGGACAAAGACUGACGCUCAGGUGCGAAAGCGUGGGGAGCAAACAGGAUUAGAUACCCCAGUAGUC